Molecule: ribosomal RNA, 2900 nt
Filed under: Escherichia coli DEC2A
Lineage: Bacteria; Pseudomonadati; Pseudomonadota; Gammaproteobacteria; Enterobacterales; Enterobacteriaceae
Description: bacterial LSU rRNA
Rfam family: Bacterial large subunit ribosomal RNA
Source: RNAcentral
UAAGCGACUAAGCGUACACGGUGGAUGCCCUGGCAGUCAGAGGCGAUGAAGGACGUGCUAAUCUGCGAUAAGCGUCGGUGAGGUGAUAUGAACCGUUAUAACCGGCGAUUUCCGAAUGGGGAAACCCAGUGUGUUUCGACACACUAUCAUUAACUGAAUCCAUAGGUUAAUGAGGCGAACCGGGGAACUGAAACAUCUAAGUACCCCGAGGAAAAGAAAUACAACCGAGAUUCCCCCAGUAGCGGCGAGCGAACGGGGAGGAGCCCAGAGCCUGAAUCAGUGUGUGUGUUAGUGGAAGCGUCUGGAAAGGCGUGCGAUACAGGGUGACAGCCCCGUACACAAAAAUGCACAUAUUGUGAGCUCGAUGAGUAGGGCGGGACACGUGGUAUCCUGUCUGAAUAUGGGGGGACCAUCCUCCAAGGCUAAAUACUCCUGACUGACCGAUAGUGAACCAGUACCGUGAGGGAAAGGCGAAAAGAACCCCGGCGAGGGGAGUGAAAAAGAACCUGAAACCGUGUACGUACAAGCAGUGGGAGCCUCUUAAUGGGGUGACUGCGUACCUUUUGUAUAAUGGGUCAGCGACUUAUAUUCUGUAGCAAGGUUAACCGAAUAGGGGAGCCGAAGGGAAACCGAGUCUUAACUGGGCGUUAAGUUGCAGGGUAUAGACCCGAAACCCGGUGAUCUAGCCAUGGGCAGGUUGAAGGUUGGGUAACACUAACUGGAGGACCGAACCGACUAAUGUUGAAAAAUUAGCGGAUGACUUGUGGCUGGGGGUGAAAGGCCAAUCAAACCGGGAGAUAGCUGGUUCUCCCCGAAAGCUAUUUAGGUAGCGCCUCGUGAAUUCAUCUCCGGGGGUAGAGCACUGUUUCGGCAAGGGGGUCAUCCCGACUUACCAACCCGAUGCAAACUGCGAAUACCGGAGAAUGUUAUCACGGGAGACACACGGCGGGUGCUAACGUCCGUCGUGAAGAGGGAAACAACCCAGACCGCCAGCUAAGGUCCCAAAGUCAUGGUUAAGUGGGAAACGAUGUGGGAAGGCCCAGACAGCCAGGAUGUUGGCUUAGAAGCAGCCAUCAUUUAAAGAAAGCGUAAUAGCUCACUGGUCGAGUCGGCCUGCGCGGAAGAUGUAACGGGGCUAAACCAUGCACCGAAGCUGCGGCAGCGACACUAUGUGUUGUUGGGUAGGGGAGCGUUCUGUAAGCCUGUGAAGGUGGCCUGUGAGGGUUGCUGGAGGUAUCAGAAGUGCGAAUGCUGACAUAAGUAACGAUAAAGCGGGUGAAAAGCCCGCUCGCCGGAAGACCAAGGGUUCCUGUCCAACGUUAAUCGGGGCAGGGUGAGUCGACCCCUAAGGCGAGGCCGAAAGGCGUAGUCGAUGGGAAACAGGUUAAUAUUCCUGUACUUGGUGUUACUGCGAAGGGGGGACGGAGAAGGCUAUGUUGGCCGGGCGACGGUUGUCCCGGUUUAAGCGUGUAGGCUGGUUUUCCAGGCAAAUCCGGAAAACCAAGGCUGAGGCGUGAUGACGAGGCACUACGGUGCUGAAGUGACAAAUGCCCUGCUUCCAGGAAAAGCCUCUAAGCAUCAGGUAACAUCAAAUCGUACCCCAAACCGACACAGGUGGUCAGGUAGAGAAUACCAAGGCGCUUGAGAGAACUCGGGUGAAGGAACUAGGCAAAAUGGUGCCGUAACUUCGGGAGAAGGCACGCUGAUAUGUAGGUGAAGCGACUUGCUCGUGGAGCUGAAAUCAGUCGAAGAUACCAGCUGGCUGCAACUGUUUAUUAAAAACACAGCACUGUGCAAACACGAAAGUGGACGUAUACGGUGUGACGCCUGCCCGGUGCCGGAAGGUUAAUUGAUGGGGUUAGCGGCAACGCGAAGCUCUUGAUCGAAGCCCCGGUAAACGGCGGCCGUAACUAUAACGGUCCUAAGGUAGCGAAAUUCCUUGUCGGGUAAGUUCCGACCUGCACGAAUGGCGUAAUGAUGGCCAGGCUGUCUCCACCCGAGACUCAGUGAAAUUGAACUCGCUGUGAAGAUGCAGUGUACCCGCGGCAAGACGGAAAGACCCCGUGAACCUUUACUAUAGCUUGACACUGAACAUUGAGCCUUGAUGUGUAGGAUAGGUGGGAGGCUUUGAAGUGUGGACGCCAGUCUGCAUGGAGCCGACCUUGAAAUACCACCCUUUAAUGUUUGAUGUUCUAACGUUGGCCCGUAAUCCGGGUUGCGGACAGUGUCUGGUGGGUAGUUUGACUGGGGCGGUCUCCUCCUAAAGAGUAACGGAGGAGCACGAAGGUUGGCUAAUCCUGGUCGGACAUCAGGAGGUUAGUGCAAUGGCAUAAGCCAGCUUGACUGCGAGCGUGACGGCGCGAGCAGGUGCGAAAGCAGGUCAUAGUGAUCCGGUGGUUCUGAAUGGAAGGGCCAUCGCUCAACGGAUAAAAGGUACUCCGGGGAUAACAGGCUGAUACCGCCCAAGAGUUCAUAUCGACGGCGGUGUUUGGCACCUCGAUGUCGGCUCAUCACAUCCUGGGGCUGAAGUAGGUCCCAAGGGUAUGGCUGUUCGCCAUUUAAAGUGGUACGCGAGCUGGGUUUAGAACGUCGUGAGACAGUUCGGUCCCUAUCUGCCGUGGGCGCUGGAGAACUGAGGGGGGCUGCUCCUAGUACGAGAGGACCGGAGUGGACGCAUCACUGGUGUUCGGGUUGUCAUGCCAAUGGCACUGCCCGGUAGCUAAAUGCGGAAGAGAUAAGUGCUGAAAGCAUCUAAGCACGAAACUUGCCCCGAGAUGAGUUCUCCCUGACCCUUUAAGGGUCCUGAAGGAACGUUGAAGACGACGACGUUGAUAGGCCGGGUGUGUAAGCGCAGCGAUGCGUUGAGCUAACCGGUACUAAUGAACCGUGAGGCUUAACCU